Molecule: non-coding RNA, 279 nt
Organism: Cinara cedri
Lineage: Eukaryota; Metazoa; Arthropoda; Insecta; Hemiptera; Aphididae
Source: the annotation of a GenBank genome assembly
UUUUUUUUCUAUCAAUUGUCAAAAGCAUUUUCAACUUAUGGACAUUUCUAGGAAAGUCGUCUCUUAAAUGUAUAAUUACCGAAUUCAAUCCUUAGCUACUGAACGAAAAACUUAAUCAGAACUCAUACAAAUGUACAAAGUCGAUCCAACUUAGUUAAAUUAAUUUACGAUUUCAGUUUAUGGGGAAAAAAAGAAUAGAACAACCGCUCAAAAUUUAAAAAUUGGCUAAUUUGAGUUCAAGUACAUAGAAGUAUAAUAAUAAUUUAUUUCUGUUCAUUA